RNAcentral lists this ribosomal RNA (414 nucleotides) under bacterium enrichment culture clone ALO1_GLFRUDD03FMMLH. Its description in RNAcentral is "bacterial SSU rRNA". It matches the Rfam family "Bacterial small subunit ribosomal RNA", at positions 9 to 422 of the family's 1533-position model. The record is from RNAcentral.
GAGUUUGAUCCUGGCUCAGAUUGAACGCUGGCGGCAUGCCUUACACAUGCAAGUCGAACGGCAGCACGGGAGCUUGCUCCUGGUGGCGAGUGGCGAACGGGUGAGUAAUGCAUCGGAACGUAUCCUGGAGUGGGGGAUAACGUAGCGAAAGUUACGCUAAUACCGCAUAUUCUGUGAGCAGGAAAGCGGGGGACCUUCGGGCCUCGCGCUCUUGGAGCGGCCGAUGUCGGAUUAGCUAGUUGGUGAGGUAAAGGCUCACCAAGGCGACGAUCCGUAGCAGGUCUGAGAGGAUGAUCUGCCACACUGGAACUGAGACACGGUCCAGACUCCUACGGGAGGCAGCGAGUGGGGAAUUUUGGACAAUGGGGGCAACCCUGAUCCAGCCAUGCCGCGUGAGUGAAGAAGGCCUUACGG